RNAcentral lists this ribosomal RNA (305 nucleotides) under Nadinetella crassi. RNAcentral describes it as "partial 12S ribosomal RNA". The record is from RNAcentral. Lineage: Eukaryota; Metazoa; Arthropoda; Insecta; Ephemeroptera; Teloganodidae.
AUGUGUGCAUAUUCUAGAGCUCUUAUCAAAUUUAUUUUUUCUUAAAUAUUACCGUCAAAUCCACCUUCMCUAAUUAUUACAAACUUUAUCCGUAUAAUUUUAAUUAUUGUAACUCACCUUUACUUAAGCAUAAACUACACCUUGACCUGACAUACUUCUUUUAAGAACCUUGAAUAUUAUUUCUCAACAUUUCCUGAUGACGGCGGUAUAUAGGCCUCAGCCUAAGUUAGUUAAAAUGGGGAUUAUCAAUUAAAAGACAAGUUCCUCUGAUAAGAUAAAAUACCGCCAAAUUCUUUAAGUUUAUA